UGACCUGCGGAAGGAUCAUUAGCGUACGAGCGCGGGUCGCGUAACGCGCCCGAGGCUCCAUCCCGUGUCUACCUGCCUCCGUUGCUUUGGCGGGCCGCGGGGCCCUCGCGCCCCCCGUCCCCCGCGGACGCGUGCCCGCCGGAGACCCCCUCCAACCCCGUCGAUCCAGUGACGUCCGAGCAGCGACGAAUCUAUUAAAACUUUCAACAACGGAUCUCUUGGUUCUGGCAUCGAUGAAGAACGCAGCGAAAUGCGAUAAGUAAUGUGAAUUGCAGAAUUCAGUGAAUCAUCGAAUCUUUGAACGCACAUUGCGCCCUCUGGUAUUCCGGGGGGCAUGCCUGUUCGAGCGUCAUUACAUCCCCUCGAGCCCGGCUCGGUCUUGGGAGACGCCCCGUGGCGGGCGUUCCCGAAAACUAGCGGCGACGCGGUCGGUCCUCAAGCGCUCUACAACCUUUUCGUUCCGCUUCGACGGCCCGGGCGCGUCCGCCGGACAAACCCCCAUUUUCCACGAUUGACCUCGGAUCAGGUAGGGAU
RNAcentral lists this ribosomal RNA (534 nucleotides) under Trapelia obtegens. Its description in RNAcentral is "eukaryotic LSU rRNA". The stretch from base 199 to 352 matches the Rfam family "5.8S ribosomal RNA". Lineage: Eukaryota; Fungi; Ascomycota; Lecanoromycetes; Trapeliales; Trapeliaceae. The record is from RNAcentral.